UAGCCGGCACCAAUCAAGUAGGUGGGAUUCCCGAGCGGCCAAAGGGAGCAGACUGUAAAUCUGCCGUCACAGACUUCGAAGGUUC
RNAcentral lists this transfer RNA (85 nucleotides) under Pantoea sp. Sc1. Its description in RNAcentral is "tRNA-Tyr". Lineage: Bacteria; Pseudomonadati; Pseudomonadota; Gammaproteobacteria; Enterobacterales; Erwiniaceae. The record is from RNAcentral.